Molecule: ribosomal RNA, 513 nt
Filed under: uncultured bacterium
Lineage: Bacteria
Description: bacterial SSU rRNA
Rfam family: Bacterial small subunit ribosomal RNA
Source: RNAcentral
GAGUUUGAUCAUGGCUCAGAACGAACGCUGGCGGCGUGCUUAACACAUGCAAGUCGUGCGGGAAAGUUCCCUUCGGGGAGCGAGUAUAGCGGCGAACGGGUGAGUAACACGUAGGUAACCUACCCUGGGGUCUGGGAUAACCCACCGAAAGGUGGGCUAAUACCGGAUAAGACCACGGGGGCCUCGGCCCCUGAGGUAAAAGAUGGCCUCUGCUUGCAUGCUAUCACCCCGAGAUGGGCCUGCGCGCCAUUAGCUUGUUGGUGAGGUAACGGCUCACCAAGGCUGAGAUGGCUAGCUGGUCUGAGAGGAUGACCAGCCACACUGGGACUGAGACACGGCCCAGACUCCUACGGGAGGCAGCAGUGGGGAAUAUUGCGCAAUGGGCGAAAGCCUGACGCAGCGACGCCGUGUGGGUGAUGAAGGCCUUUGGGUCGUAAAGCCCUGUCAGAGGGGACGAAAUCUCGUCGGCCCAAUACGUCGGCGACUUGACGGUACCCUCAGAGGAAGCACCGG